GCCGGGAUGGCUCAGUGGUAGAGCGAGUAAUUGGUAAUUACUAGGUCAUGGGUUCGAUUCCCAUUCUCGGCU
This 72-nucleotide transfer RNA is filed under the name Candidatus Levybacteria bacterium RBG_16_35_11. RNAcentral describes it as "tRNA-Thr". It matches the Rfam family "tRNA". From Rfam's summary of the family: Transfer RNA (tRNA) molecules are approximately 80 nucleotides in length. Their secondary structure includes four short double-helical elements and three loops (D, anti-codon, and T loops). The record is from RNAcentral. Lineage: Bacteria; Candidatus Levyibacteriota.